RNAcentral lists this ribosomal RNA (496 nucleotides) under uncultured bacterium. Its description in RNAcentral is "partial 16S ribosomal RNA". It matches the Rfam family "Bacterial small subunit ribosomal RNA", at positions 28 to 507 of the family's 1533-position model. The record is from RNAcentral.
GAUGAACGCUGGCGGCGUGCCUAAUACAUGCAAGUCGAGCGAACGGACGAGAAGCUUGCUUCUCUGAUGUUAGCGGCGGACGGGUGAGUAACACGUGGAUAACCUACCUAUCAGACUGGGAUAACUUCGGGAAACCGUAGCUAAUACCGGAUAAUAUUUUGAACCGCAUGGUUCAAAAGUGAAAGACGGUCUUGCUGGCACUAAUGGAGGCUUCGCGCUGCAUUAGCUAGGUGGUAAGGUAACGGCUUACCAAGGGCACGAUGGCUUGCCGACCUGAGAGGGUGAUCGGCCACACUGGAACUGAGACACGGUCCAGACUCCUACGGGAGGCAGCAGUAGGGAAUCUUCCGCAAUGGGCGAAAGCCUGACGGAGCAACGCCGCGUGAGUGAUGAAGGUCUUCGGAUCGUAAAACUCUGUUAUUAGUGAAGAACAUAUGUGUAAGUAACUGUGCACAUCUUGACGGUACCUAAUCAGAAAGCCACGGCUAACUACGUG